Molecule: ribosomal RNA, 403 nt
Filed under: uncultured bacterium
Lineage: Bacteria
Description: bacterial SSU rRNA
Rfam family: Bacterial small subunit ribosomal RNA
Source: RNAcentral
UAGGGAAUAUUAGAAAUGGACGAAAGUCUGAUCUAGCAACACCGCGUGUGCGAAGAAGGCCUUCGGGUCGUAAAGCACUUUUUGGAAGGAAUAGGAAGGAAUGUACUUCCAGAAUAAGUCUCGGCUAACUACGUGCCAGCAGCCGCGGUAACACGUAGGAGGCGAACGUUAUCCGGAUUUACUGGGCGUAAAGCGCGUGUAGGUGGUACUGUAAGUAGGGCGUGAAAGCUCCUGGCUCAACUGGGAGAGGCCGUUCUAAACUACAGAACUAGAGGAUGGUAGGGGGAGGUGGAAUUCCAGGUGUAGCGGUGGAAUGCGCAGAUAUCUGGAGGAACACCGGUGGCGAAGGCGGCCUCCUAGACCAUUCCUGACACUCAGACGCGAAAGCUAGGGUAGCAAACGG